Molecule: non-coding RNA, 6967 nt
Organism: Sus scrofa (pig)
Lineage: Eukaryota; Metazoa; Chordata; Mammalia; Artiodactyla; Suidae
Source: RefSeq, a predicted model, not a curated record
AGUGACUUCUGCCCUUGGGGUUAUUUCCUCGUUCGUCAAGGUAGCUGAAGUCCCUCCUACUUUCUUUGACAAUUUUUUUAAUCCUCACUCCUUCCUCCGGGGAAUUUUUGUUUUUAAUACCUUCAGCAGCUACCUGGAACUUGAAUCAUUUUACUUCCCCAUCGUUGUGGAACCUCGCCCUGCAGUCUGAGAAAAGCGUCCUCGAAGUACCACAGGUCCGCGGCGUAGGUCUCGCGAGAAGACGGCAAACUCUCGCGUUUUUUCUUGUUUUCCAUAAUCCUUAGCGCGAAGUGGAAAAACACGCAUUUCUCUCAGCUUCGGUUGAUGACUGCAGGGUUCACGCCUUUACUCUGUUGCUGGUGCUCGAGCGGAAAUGGCGGCCCCAGAACAGCCGAUCCCGAUGUCGAGAGGAUGCCAGAGCUCUGCUUCGCUUUCUCCGCCGCGGGGCGACCGAACCCUUCUAGUGAGGCAUCUGCCAGCCGAGCUGACCGCUGAGGAGAAAGAGGACUUGCUGAAGUAUUUCGGGGCACAGUCAGUGCGCGUCCUGUCCGAUAAGGGGAGGCUGAAACAUACCGCUUUUGCCACUUUCCCUAAUGAAAAAGCAGCUAUAAAGGCAUUGACAAGACUCCAUCAGCUGAAACUUUUAGGUCAUACUCUAGUUGUUGAAUUUGCGAAAGAGCAAGAUCAAGUUCAUUCACCAUGUCCCUCUUCAAGCACUGAAAAAAAGAAAAGGUCUGAUGAUCCUGUGGAAGAUGAUAAAGAAAAGAAAGAACUUGAUUGUUUAACCAUAGAAAAUGGAAUUGCACCAAACCAUGGGCUGACUUUUCCACUGAAUUCAUGCCUCAAGUAUAUGUACCCACCACCUUCGAGCACAAUCCUAGCAAACAUAGUAAAUGCUUUGGCGAGUGUGCCUAAGUUCUAUGUACAGGUGCUUCAUCUUAUGAAUAAAAUGAAUUUGCCCACGCCUUUUGGACCAAUUACUGCACGACCUCCAAUGUAUGAAGACUAUAUGCCAUUACAUGCACCUCUUCCACCCGCAUCUCCUCAGCCACCAGAGGAACCCCCUUUGCCAGAUGAGGAAUUAUCUAGUAAAGAAUCAGAAUAUGAAAGCAGUGAUGAUGAAGACCGUCAAAGAAUGACUAAACUAAUGGAACUAGCAAAUCUUCAGCCCAAAAGACCAAAAACAAUAAAGCAGCGCCAUGCGAGAAAAAAGAGAAAAAUAAAGGAUAUGUUGAAUACACCAUCAUUUGCUUCACACAGCAGUUUACAUCCAGUGCUGUUACCUUCGGAUGUAUUUGACCAGCCACAACCUGUAGGUAAUAAAAAAAUUGAAUUCCAUAUAUCUACUGACAUGCCAGCUGCAUUUAAGAAUGAUUUAGAAAAGGAGCAAAAUUCUGAAGAACAAAAUUGUGAUUUACCUGCUUCUGGAGUUGAUGCAUCCAAUAAAGGAUUUGGAAAAAUCUUCCCCAAACCAAAUUUGAGCAUUGCAGAGGAGAUUAAAGAAGACUCUGAUGAAAUGCCAUCAGAAUGUAUUUCUAGAAGGGAGUUGGAAAAGGGCAGAAUUUCUAGAGAAGAAAUGGAAACACUUUCAGUUUUUAGAAGCUAUGAACCUGGUGAACCAAACUGUAGAAUUUAUGUAAAGAAUUUAGCUAAACAUGUUCAAGAAAAGGACCUUAAAUUUAUUUUUGGAAGAUAUGUUGACUUUUCGUCAGAAACACAACGGAUAAUGUUUGAUAUACGCUUGAUGAAAGAAGGUCGCAUGAAAGGACAAGCAUUCAUUGGACUUCCAAAUGAAAAAGCAGCAGCAAAAGCAUUAAAGGAAGCUAAUGGAUAUGUUCUUUUUGGAAAACCUAUGGUAGUUCAAUUUGCUCGAUCUGCUAGACCAAAACAAGAUUCUAAAGAAGGAAAAAGAAAGUGCUAAAAGUUAAUAAAGAAGCAUUCCUGCGUAAAUACUGCUGUAAUACUGUCAUACAAAGUGUAUCCUUUCUUGUUGUAUCCUUUUUGGGGCAGUGUUUUUUGAUUUUUCCAGAAAUGUUUUGUCUUUCCUCCACCCAUUAAUUCACCUUAAGCAAUAAUCUUUUACAGUGCAUUGAAAUGAAGUAUUUCUAAAAUUAUCUGUUAAUUAAGCAAAUCUUUUACAUGGUUUUUAGAUUUGUUGUUGAAUUUUCUAUGCUGUCUUUUAGGUUAUGUAAUUUUUCCAGGGAAAGUUAGUGAAUCAGGUCAACUUAUUUACUUGGAGAAUGUAUACAUUUACUUUAAUACAGAUUUUAGUCUUGUUUCUUUAAUCCAUGUAUUUUCUAAGCCUAAAAUUCAGUAACAUAAUGCUUUCUGUUUCAUGAUGUAUCUGGUUUUAGGUGUGCUAUAUAAUGUGUUGUAAAAUUCAGGGAAAGGUUUUUUUGUUAUUUUUUCCUUUUAAAAAGUACGUACGUUGAAAAGUGAAGUAACUGGAUUUCAGUGUAAAUUCCAAGUAAGAGUAGCAGACCUUACAUCUGAGGUUUUACUAUUGAAAUCUUUGAGAUAGCAAGUAGAAGUAUCUUUUUUCCUCUUUCUUUUUCUAAACUAAGCAAAAGGAGUAAGAGUAACAGAGAGAAGACAUAACAUUGAUUCAGGGUAGCACAUUAAGUGGAAAGAAACAAAUCUGGUAGGUAUGUAAGUGCAGGGGUUUACAGACUAUUUGAUAAUAAGAACCACACAAAACAGUGUGGUUCUCAGUCUUGGCUACAUAUUGGAAUGAUCUGUGGAAGUUUUUUAAAAAUACUGAUUAUAUAAAAUGACGUAGUAAACUAAAAAAUAUACUUAUGCCUGUGUUUCUUCCUCAGAGUUUUGAUUUAAUUGGUCUAGAUUUCAACAUAGAUAUUAGCGUUUUUAAAUCUCAAAAUUUUGAUUCUAAUAUGCAGUCAAGGUUGAGAACUUCUGAGCAAGUUUCCUGGACUCUAUCCUAGAACUGAUAAAUCAGAGUAUCUGGGAUUAGGACCAAGAAUCUGAUUUGAAAGGGCCCUUAGUAGUUCUAAGGACUGAUUAGUUAGAUUAAAAUGGUUAGGUGGAUUCAAGAAUACCAACCUGGCCAUCUAAAUUUUUAUCAGUAGGAAAAUAAAGCAUUUGAGCCUCUACACCUCUUUCUUGCAAAUCCUGCUAUUAGUAGUACCAUGAAAACAACGCAAAAUUCUGUUAGUAUCACCCUGAGUAUAAAAAGUUAUAGAUAUUGAAAUUGCUGUUGCUUUUUCCUAUAGACUCAAGUAAAAUAUUAUAUUUUUUAUAGGUCAGUUUCUGUUAACUGUUUAAACAAAAUUUUGUUCUGACAUGAUUCACUAAUUUUCUGAAUAUAAAUGUUUUAGCUUUUAGUUAUUUUAAAACUAUUGAACUGUUUUAUAAUCAUUACUUUUAAUUAAUUUUUAUGGUGUUUUAGGUUCCUUUUGAAUUCCAUAUCUUUCAAGUACUUUCCAGCUUUGGAGAGAUGAAAUUGACUACCUGGACGAUGGAACUGGAUUUGACACGCUGGCCAGGUGUAGAUCACAUGUGUCACCUCUGAGGUGAGAAGUUUCAUAUAAACCACUUGAAAUGACAGUUAGGAAUGGGCUUGUUUUUUGAAGGAAAAGCAUAGCAUUGUGAAAUCAAAAGAGAAACUUAGGUAUUAGGCAGCCAAAAGCAAAUGUUUUACUACAGUAUACAAUAAAUAAAACUCUUACUGCCAUGUGGUUGUUAUCCAUUUAUUCUUUUCAUAAGGGCUGGGACCAGUGUAAAGAGAAGGAAUCUCCUAGGGUGUGGACUUUAAGGAGGCAUAAACUCUCAGAGUAAUCCAAGAGCUCUUUCUCUCAGUCUAGUCUUGGUGCUGCCUCCUACUAUAUUAAUAACAUAAACAGAGUCAGCAUAAUCCUGUUUAAGUAAAUCACCAAACAAAAGCAGUACCAUUCAAGUAGCUAUUUUAGAUGAUUUGAAAAAUAUUUAUUAUGCAAAUGACACUCCUUCAAAAUCAAUGUCAAGAGAGAUUAAGUCUUCUAAAGGAAGUAAGGGAAAGGAAUUACUACCUAUUAAGUACCUAAAAUUCAAAAGGCAUUGCAUUAAUGUUUAGAUAUAGUAAUUAUUUGACAUUUGCCAACCUAUAAGAACACUUCCUUUUGUGAGGAAUGGAGAAGUUUCCUGCUGAACUUCAACUGUAUAUUAGUAGAUAUUGUAAAGUUUAGUUUCCUUUACUAAUAUUUAAGUUAUUUCCAUAAAUUUAACCUUGGUGAAAUGGGCCAACUUCUUGAAAGUGGCAAGUAAAACUUACUUGAGAAGUAGGUAAUCUCAACAAUUCUAUAUCUAAUAAGUUUACUUUGUGGUUAAAAAAUCUUCCUGAAGCCCUGGAUAACUUCACUGAUGAAUUCUACCAAACAUUAAAUGAAGGAACCAACAAUUCUAUACAACAGAACACUUCUGAAUUCAUUUUAAGAGGCCUGAAUUUAUCUUGAUAGUAAAUAAGACAAAGGACGAGAAAAGUACAUAUCACUGUAUCUUAUUAGUGUAUAUGCAGAAAUCCUCAACAAUAUAUGAGCAAGUUGAAUCGGCAAUAUAUAAAAAGGAUUAUAAAUCAUGGCCAAAUGAAGUUUAUCCUGCAAAAUGCAGGCUGUUGAACCUUUGAAAAUGAAUAAAUGUUAUUUAUCAACAGACUAAAGAAGGAAAAGCAUAUGAUUUUCUUAAUGUAAAAAGUAUUUGACAAUUGAACAUCCAUUCUUAAUAGCUCAGCAAGCUAGCACUAGAAAAGGGCGUCCUUAAGUUAAAAGUGUCUACAAAACCUCUUGGUGUCUUAAUACUUCAUUAUUAAAGGCUAAAUGUUUUCCUCCUAAGAAAAGGAGAAAUUAGGCAAGGAAGUAGACACUCACUAUUAGUAUUCAGCUUCUCGCUGACAGCCAUUGCAUAAAACGAAAAAGAAAAUCUUUGUAAAUUGGAAAUUAUGAGGUAAAAUUAUUCCUUGACAGAGAUGACGUGUUUAUGUUGAAAAUUCCAAAGGAUUAAAACACUCCUACAACUGAUUGUAAGAUUAAAAUAAAUAUGUAGAAUACAAUUGUCUAUCUGUGCACUAGCAAUGAGCAACUAGACAUUGAAAUUUUUGUCUACAAUUACAUUUGCAGUAGUACCAAAACAGAAAUAAUAAAGUCUACCAAAAUAUGUACUACACCUGUAUGCUGCAAACCUUCCACCAAAUUUUGAUAAUAAAAAGUGAGGAAGGCUUAAGUAAAGGGAGAGAGGUACUGUAUACAUGGUUCAAAAGACAAUUAUUAUGCCAUCUCUUCCCAAAUAGACUGAUUUCAAAUAAAAAAAUUCUAGCAGGAUAUUUUGUUGAUAUUAUCAAGUUGACUUUCAAGUUUCUUUGGAAAAGCAACAGAGCUAGAAUAGCUGACACAAUAUCAAGACAAAAUUAUAUGACUUAGACUACAGAAUUCUAAGUCUUACUAUAAAGUUAUAAUAAAUAGUGUCAUAUUUGGCAGAGAAUAGACACAUAAAUCAAUGGAACAAGAAAGUCUAGAAAUAGACCCACACAAGUAUGGUAAAUUAAUAAGCCAACUCAGUGGAAAAGGAUAGUCAUUUGAAUAUGAGAUGUAUUCCCCCCAAAAAAAUGGUAUCAAUACAUUUCUGUCACACAAAAAUAUUUUCAAAAUAAAUUUUAGGCCCAAAUAUAAAAUCUAAAACUAUGAAAAUUAUAAGAAAAAAAUGUCUGUGGGACCUAGACGCUUAUAUAUAACUUAUUUAAGUUCUUAUAUAUGUAUAACAUCAAAAGAUUGAUCCAUUUAUAUAUAAAAAAGGAUAAAUUGGUCUUCAAAUAAAAAUCUUGUUCAGAAGACACUGCUAGAAAAGAAGAGCAAGCCAUAGAAUGGGAGAAAUCUUUGUAAAGCAUGUAUUUGACAAAGGAGAGUAACCAGAAUAUAUAAGGAACUUAUAUCUCAGUAACAACAACAACAAAAAAAGCCAAAAAUGGACAGUAAAUAUGAAGGCACUUCAAAGGUUUAUGAUGGCAAAUAAGCAGAUGGACAUCAUCAACCAUUAGGAAAAUAUACAGCCAGAAUAAGAUGGCACCACAUACUUAUUAGAAUGGCUUAAAAUAAAUUCUGAUAGCACCAAGAGUUGUCCAACUAAGCUCCCAUACAUUGCUAGUGAAAGUACAAAAUGAUGUAUCUGCUGUGCAAAACAAUUUUGGAAAGUUUGUUAAAAGAUUAAACAUGCACUUAACAAGUGACCUACCCAUCACACUUCUAAGUGUCCAAGAAGAACAAAAAAAUUACAUUCACUCUAAAACUAUACAUGAGAGAAUUUUGGAAAGGUGGCAGAGUAGGAAGUCUCAGGAAUCAAUCUCCCCACAGAAACAACUGCACUGGCAGUACCAGUCUGAUGUCACUGUUUUGGAACUUAUGGGUCUAGUAAAGGCUUGCAACUUCCAGGGAAAGUCUUGGACAAUAAAAUUGUAGUUAAUUUAGGUCAAUUUCAGCUCUUAGCAUAGUAGCAACUACCCAUCCAUCAAACUCUGCCAUGUGGCAGGUAGCCAUGUAUGUAUCCUGGAGCACCUUUCACACAGCUGGUUAGAGUCAGGGUAGGCAAAAAGGACCCUGAGCUCUAAAUAUUGGGAAUCUAUGUUCUAAUCAUUAAUUACUGCUUUCUAUCACAAAGGUUCAAAGAGGUUGGCAGCCAUGGUUGUACAUCCAUUUUUGUAAGACAUGCCUCUAAACUAAUGAAUGGACUUCCAGGUGAAUAAUAAGGCAGACACCCUAUUUUUCUUCCCUUUUUUAUUUUUCUCUUUUUCCCCUUUUGGGAGCCAGGCAUGCUUAAAGACUAGGACAUUCAAAAACAACUGCUCAUAUGGGGAAAAUUAGACAUUGACUACUAACUUCAGAAAAAGACACAAAAAUCUAAGAGCUAAGAUAUUAUACUUUAGUGAUCCUUGGUGCAGAAACAGCAUAAAACAAUUUUUUAAAAGCAAUAAAAAUACUAAUACUUU